UAAUACAGAGGGGGCAAGCGUUAUUCGGAAUUAUUGGGCGUAAAGGGCGCGUAGGCGGCUUGGCAAGUGGAAGGUGAAAUCCCUCGGCUUAACCGAGGAACUGCCUUCCAGACUGCUUUGCUUGAGGCCGGGAGAGGUGAGUGGAAUUCCCAGUGUAGCGGUGAAAUGCGUAGAUAUUGGGAGGAACACCAGUGGCGAAGGCGGCUCACUGGACCGGUUCUGACGCUGAGGCGCGAAAGCGUGGGGAGCAAACGGGAUUAGAUACCCCGGUAGUCCACGCCGUAAACGAUGAGUGCUUG
This 299-nucleotide ribosomal RNA is filed under the name uncultured bacterium. RNAcentral describes it as "partial 16S ribosomal RNA". It matches the Rfam family "Bacterial small subunit ribosomal RNA", at positions 521 to 819 of the family's 1533-position model. The record is from RNAcentral.